ACGGAGCAACGCCGCGUGGGGGAAGAAGGCCUUUGGGUUGUAAACUCCUUUUCUCAGGGAAGAAGCACUGACGGUACCUGAGGAAUCAGCCUCGGCUAACUCCGUGCCAGCAGCCGCGGUAAUACGGAGGAGGCAAGCGUUAUCCGGAAUUAUUGGGCGUAAAGCGUUCGUAGGCGGCAUUUCAAGUCUGCUGUCAAAGGCCGAGGCUCAACUUCGGAAAGGCAGUGGAAACUGAAAAGCUAGAGGUCGGUAGGGGCAGAGGGAAUUCCCAGUGUAGCGGUGAAAUGCGUAGAUAUUGGGAAGAACACCGGUGGCGAAAGCGCUCUGCUGGGCCGAACCUGACGCUGAGGGACGAAAGCUAGGGGAGCGAAUGGGAUUAGAUACCCCAGUAGUCCUAGCCGUAAACGAUGGAGACUAGGUGUUGCCUGUAUCGACCCGGGCAGUGCCGAAGCCAACGCGUUAAGUCUCCCGCCUGGGGAGUACGCACGCAAGUGUGAAACUCAAAGGAAUUGACGGGGGCCCGCACAAGCGGUGGAGUAUGUGGUUUAAUUCGAUGCAACGCGAAGAACCUUACCAGGGCUUGACAUCCCGCGAAUCUCGGCGAAAGUUGAGAGUGCCUACGGGAACGCGGAGACAGGUGGUGCAUGGCUGUCGUCAGCUCGUGUCGUGAGAUGUUGGGUUAAGUCCCGCAACGAGCGCAACCCUCGUCCUUAGUUGCCAUCCUUAAGUGGGGCACUCUAGGGAGACUGCCGGUGAUAAACCGGAGGAAGGUGGGGAUGACGUCAAGUCAUCAUGCCCCAUAUGUCCUGGGCGACACACGUACUACAAUGGUCGGGACAGCGAGCAGCCAACUUGCGAAAGCGCGCUAAUCUCUCAAACCCGGCCUCAGUUCAGAUUGCAGGCUGCAACUCGCCUGCAUGAAGGAGGAAUCGCUAGUAAUCGCAGGUCAGCAUACUGCGGUGAAUCCGUUCCCGGGCCUUGUACACACCGCCCGUCACACCAUGGAAGUCGGCCAUGCCCGAAGUCAUUACUCUAACCGUUCGCGGAGGAGGGGCCGAAGGCAGG
RNAcentral lists this ribosomal RNA (1065 nucleotides) under Geitlerinema sp. LEGE 11396. RNAcentral describes it as "bacterial SSU rRNA". It matches the Rfam family "Bacterial small subunit ribosomal RNA", at positions 386 to 1466 of the family's 1533-position model. The record is from RNAcentral. Lineage: Bacteria; Bacillati; Cyanobacteriota; Cyanophyceae; Geitlerinematales; Geitlerinemataceae.